RNAcentral lists this ribosomal RNA (1404 nucleotides) under uncultured Bacilli bacterium. Its description in RNAcentral is "bacterial SSU rRNA". It matches the Rfam family "Bacterial small subunit ribosomal RNA", at positions 29 to 1391 of the family's 1533-position model. The record is from RNAcentral. Lineage: Bacteria; Bacillati; Bacillota; Bacilli.
ACGAACGCUGGCGGCGUGCCUAAUACAUGCAAGUCGAACGAGCUCUCCUAAAUUGAUUUUAUGCUUGCAUAAAUGAUUUUUAGAUUCGGAGCGAGUGGCGAACUGGUGAGUAACACGUGGGUAACCUGCCCCGAAGCGGGGGAUAACAUUUGGAAACAAAUGCUAAUACCGCAUAAUUAGUUGGAACCGCAUGGUUCCAACUUGAAAGAUGGCUCUGCUAUCACUUUGGGAUGGACCCGCGCCGUAUUAGUUAGUUGGUGAGAUAAAAGCCCACCAAGACGAUGAUACGUAGCCGACCUGAGAGGGUAAUCGGCCACAUUGGGACUGAGACACGGCCCAGACUCCUACGGGAGGCAGCAGUAGGGAAUCUUCCACAAUGGACGAAAGUCUGAUGGAGCAACGCCGCGUGAGUGAUGAAGGUUUUCGGAUCGUAAAACUCUGUUGUUAAAGAAGAACAAGUGUUAGAGUAACUGUUAACACUUUGACGGUAUUUAACCAGAAAGCCACGGCUAACUACGUGCCAGCAGCCGCGGUAAUACGUAGGUGGCAAGCGUUGUCCGGAUUUAUUGGGCGUAAAGCGAGCGCAGGCGGUUUUGUAAGUCUGCUGUGAAAGCCCUCAGCUCAACUGAGGAAGUGCAGUGGAAACUACAAAACUUGAGUACAGAAGAGGAAAGUGGAACUCCAUGUGUAGCGGUGAAAUGCGUAGAUAUAUGGAAGAACACCAGUGGCGAAAGGCGGCUUUCUGGUCUGUUACUGACGCUGAGGCUCGAAAGCAUGGGUAGCGAACAGGAUUAGAUACCCUGGUAGUCCAUGCCGUAAACGAUGAAUACUAGGUGUUGGAGGGUUUCCGCCCUUCAGUGCCGCAGCUAACGCAUUAAGUAUUCCGCCUGGGGAGUACGACCGCAAGGUUGAAACUCAAAGGAAUUGACGGGGGCCCGCACAAGUGGUGGAGCAUGUGGUUUAAUUCGAUGCUACGCGAAGAACCUUACCAGCUCUUGACAUCUUCUGCCAACCCAAGAGAUUGGGCGUUCCCUUCGGGGACAGAAUGACAGGUGGUGCAUGGUUGUCGUCAGCUCGUGUCGUGAGAUGUUGGGUUAAGUCCCGCAACGAGCGCAACCCUUAUUAUUAGUUGCCAGCAUUUAGUUGGGCACUCUAGUGAGACUGCCGGUGAUAAACCGGAGGAAGGUGGGGACGACGUCAAAUCAUCAUGCCCCUUAUGAGCUGGGCUACACACGUGCUACAAUGGAUGGUACAACGAGUCGCGAAACCGCGAGGUCAAGCUAAUCUCUUAAAGCCAUUCUCAGUUCGGAUUGCAGGCUGCAACUCGCCUGCAUGAAGUUGGAAUCACUAGUAAUCGUGGAUCAGCAUGCCACGGUGAAUACGUUCCCGGGCCUUGUACUCACC